Myotis brandtii (Brandt's bat) is the source of this 997-nucleotide long non-coding RNA. RefSeq lists it as uncharacterized. The transcript has 3 exons. The record is from RefSeq and is a predicted model, not a curated record. Lineage: Eukaryota; Metazoa; Chordata; Mammalia; Chiroptera; Vespertilionidae.
UUCAUUUCUGGACUUCUCAGUAGCCCAAGAAGAAGGACAGCAAAACCAUCCACUCUGACCUCCUGGGAGCCCCCCCUGUUUUCUGCAGCCUUUGCAUUUCAAAGGACAUGCUGUGGGGUACGUGUACCUGCCCUGGUUUUUCCGGGGGGAGCUGAGUGCUUGAAGAAAAUCCCACUGGCUUUGGGGGGUGCCGAGUGCCCUGUAACUGCCUCUGCCUGCUUGUUGUGUGAGUACGAGUUGAAAUUAUUCGUUUGUCCUCCGGCCUUUACUGAAUUCACAUUCUGGUACCAGACGCCGUGCUAUGUCCCUUUUACCUGGAAGGUCGUUAGUCAACUCCAAUAGGACAGCAAGGUUUAUUUUUUGGGGGGGAGGAGAAGGGGGGAGGCAGAGAGGUUAAUGACCCUCACCCUUUCAGUACAGUUCAUAGACCGGUUCCUGUAAACAGCAGUGUUUUCCUCUCACGGAGGGUUCUGCACAAACACCAAGGCGGGUCGGGGUCAAGUGUCCCUUAUACAUGCGUAGGGCCCCCAAAUCCAGAUGAUUCUACCACGUGACGGGCUGCUCCGCCCUGGAUCAGGGACCGACCCCAAGCCAAGCUCAGCUCCAUUCUCAAGCCACGGGGCGGUGAGAGUCGUCCUUGUUCUCGGGGGGCCUUCAUCUCCACUUUCUCACACUCCCAGGGUGCUCGCUGCACCUAGGGAUCUUCCUUACCAGCUUUUCGCUCUCCAAACACCCCUGUGGGCGAUCUCAGAGGCGUGUCCCUCAAGUGAGCUGUAGGAAGCAAAAGCAUGAAUCCCAAGUCAACCACUUACUAGAGUUGUGAUGUGGGGGCAGAUUUUACUUAACCACUUUCAGCUUUCAUUUUCUCAACCCUCAAGCAGGGAUAGCGAUGGCAUGAUAUUGACUUCAAAAGGUCCUUGGGCAGAUUCAACACAUCUAAGACCCUGAGGCAUGGGGCCUUUGCUCACUGUUAUAGUCCCAUUGCUUAGAUGAGUGG